This 169-nucleotide ribosomal RNA is filed under the name uncultured bacterium. RNAcentral describes it as "partial 16S ribosomal RNA". It matches the Rfam family "Bacterial small subunit ribosomal RNA", at positions 603 to 771 of the family's 1533-position model. The record is from RNAcentral.
CGGGGCUCAACCCCGGAACUGACAUUGAAACUAGGUGACUAGGAUCGUGGAAGGGUCAGUGGAAUUCCGAGUGUAGAGGUGAAAUUCGUAGAUAUUCGGAAGAACACCAGUGGCGAAGGCGACUGACUGGACAAGUAUUGACGCUGAGGUGCGAAAGCGUGGGGAGCAA